AGGUUUAUUUGAAAAGAAUUGAUUUUGAUCAUUGACAUACUUGUUCUUAAUAUUUUAAUGCAUGACUUAACACAUAAUAUAUUUUGCAUGUGGCAUGAUGUUUUGAAUUAUGGGUUCUCAAUAUUUUGUAAUGCUCCAUGCUUGGAUAAUUUGAUUGAAUGUUUGAAAUACUACAUAGAAUUUUUUUUGGUAUUAUUGAAAAGAAAUUUCAGAUUUGUCGUUCACAAUCAUCUUUGAAAUAUGAAAGUUGAAUAAAUUUGUAAAAAGAAGAAGAGAAUAAUAUCUCUAUUUAGGCAAAAUGAAUUGAUUUUGUUUUAUCUUUCAACUUGCCUAACUUUGGUACAUAAUAUUCUAAUCCGUACCAAAACUCAACAUUAAAUACAAAUAUUUUGAAUAUGCUCUAAUAUGUUUGAAAUAUAUAUUUUCAAUCGUAAUGAUUUAAGAUGAGCUACAAUGUGGAAGAUACAUAUCUCAAAUUAUAACUUUGAAAGUCUCCUUGAAAAUCUUUAUGAAGUUCAAAAUCCGAUUUUGUAUAAAAGCUUAAACUUAAUUUAAAAAAUGCUUAUAUCGUUACAUCUUUGUAACCUUAGUUAUAUGCUUCAAUGAUCGCAUCAUUUAGGAGAAUAACUCAAUAUGAUUCCUAAAUAAAAAUUUUAACUUAAGAAAAACAGAAUUAAUUUUGAUGCCUUGGUUGAUUGCUCCGAUACGCAUCUGAAACAUAUUAUUUCUUAUCUUUAAAGUGCACUAAAAUUGGUUUAAAUGAUGUAUUUUUCAAUGAUCUUGAUUGCAAACAAAUAUUUCUAAAUAUAUGACUUUAUUUUGAUAUUAAAAAGAUUCAUUGUAUUUCAUGUAUACAUUGCUAUGAAUCUAUGAGUAAGAAAUUAAAUUCUAUAAACAUUCACUUGAAUGAUCUUCUAUAUCCCUCUCUGCAUGAUUGUUGUUUCCAUCACUAAAAGAAAAAGCUAUUUUUAAAAGAGUGAAUGAUCUUAAAGCUAGAAACAUUUCAGCUCACUCAAAUGACUCUUAAAAGAAAGAAAAUGUAAU
This 1044-nucleotide long non-coding RNA is filed under the name Phoenix dactylifera (date palm). Its description in RNAcentral is "long non-coding RNA (PDAC_LNC008384)". The record is from RNAcentral. Lineage: Eukaryota; Viridiplantae; Streptophyta; Magnoliopsida; Arecales; Arecaceae.